This 83-nucleotide small nucleolar RNA is filed under the name Cyprinodon variegatus (sheepshead minnow). RNAcentral's name for it is "Small nucleolar RNA U2-19 (ENSCVAG00000020337.1)". Lineage: Eukaryota; Metazoa; Chordata; Actinopteri; Cyprinodontiformes; Cyprinodontidae. The record is from RNAcentral.
GGUCGAUGAUGAAAAUUAGCCAAAUCUGAGAGCUCAGGCAGAACGUGCCUCUGCUUUUGAUUACGCUUGAGAAGCUUCUAUGU